UGAGGAACAUGACCUUCGGCGGGGGAUAGCCGGCCCAACGGCCGGGUAAUACCGCGUACGACCUUUUGGGGACAUCCCCGAUUGGUGAAAGCAGCAAUGCGCCGAAAGAGUGCCUCGCGGCCUAUCAGCUAGUUGGUGGGGUAAUGGCUCACCAAGGCGACGACGGGUAGCUGGUCUGAGAGGAUGGCCAGCCACAUUGGGACUGAGACACGGCCCAGACUCCGUACGGGNGCAGCAGG
This 239-nucleotide ribosomal RNA is filed under the name uncultured bacterium. Its description in RNAcentral is "partial 16S ribosomal RNA". It matches the Rfam family "Bacterial small subunit ribosomal RNA", at positions 118 to 354 of the family's 1533-position model. The record is from RNAcentral.